GGGAAGGUGGCUCGGUGGUAGAGCGCUUGCCUUGCAUGCAUGAGGCCCUGGGUUUGAUUCCUCAGCAGCACCA
Dipodomys ordii (Ord's kangaroo rat) is the source of this 73-nucleotide non-coding RNA. The record is from Rfam. NCBI's taxonomy places the organism in Eukaryota, Metazoa, Chordata, Mammalia, Rodentia, Heteromyidae.